Long non-coding RNA from Cavia porcellus (domestic guinea pig), 3923 nucleotides. RefSeq lists it as uncharacterized. The transcript is spliced from 2 exons. The record is from RefSeq and is a predicted model, not a curated record. NCBI's taxonomy places the organism in Eukaryota, Metazoa, Chordata, Mammalia, Rodentia, Caviidae.
CCACAGCCUGCCCGCCAGAGCCCACCCUCUGCAGGGCAUAGGAUGCUGCCUGGAGUCACAUGAGCCCGGGUCCUUGCAGCCAGGAUUUUAGUCCCGGCAGAGAGCAGAUGGAACUGGGAUGUGUGGCUUCUGAGCAGAACAGGAGCGUGGACCUCUGCUCUCUGUUCCUUUUCUGUUCUGGCCAGAGUGGGACACAACAGCUGGAGCUGCAGCAGCCCUCUGGGGCUAGGAGGUAGCCUUGGAAAGGGAGCCAGGCUCACAGAUGAAUAGGCAAGGCAGAGCCUGGAUCCUGACCCUGGCGGCAGCAUCCUAGCCCAAACCCUAAGAGGGAUGUAAACACCUGCUGUAUUUAAGCCACCUGGGGAUUGGGGCUUGUGGUCACUGGCAGGGCGCUGACCCCUCUGCCUGCCCAAGUGUCAACAGGAAGAAGAUGAAAGGAAAGAAAGAAAACAGCUCCAGGACCGAGAGCUCAGCAUCUUCAACAUGGACUCGGACUUAGUGCUCACAGUAGUGGGCACUGGAAACUCUGUUUACCAAGGAGGAAACCAAGGCUUAGAGAGGAGAAGCCCCCACUCAGGGCCCUCCCGAGGCAGCAGCACAGGGCAGGACCUGCCUCCGUGCACAGGAAGGGCCAGGCCAGGAGCCACCCACGCAGCGAGCACACAGAGUAAGUGGCAGCACCUACCCCAGCCAUGACACCGAGCGCCCUGGGACCACCCAGCACCAACCUCCUCCACUCAUGACCUCUGCACUAUUCUCAGCAGCUCUGUGUGAGGGUGAUGUGGCUCCAGUCCAGCCCACAGAGGGACCCUGCAGGCUGCUGCAGGACACCCUGGACCAGGGAGCCUGAGAAGAAAGGGAGAGAGCAGGGAGGUAGACUAGACGCCACUCAGAGCGCCCGGAUCCAGCCAUGCCUGAAGCCCACCUUCCCUGCAUCACAUCCAACUCUGCCUCAGUGCUGUGAAUUCAGUUCUGCCGCACACAGCAGGAACAGCCUUGCUACAGCUCCUGGAGUACAAGCCGGGCUCUACUCCUGUCCCACGGCAGCGUUGGGGAUCAUCAGCAACAUUGUGCACACGCCCAGGGAGCCCGAGUGACAGGCUUCCUCCUCUCCAGCAUGGCUGCACCCAUGGGCUGUGCGGUUGGCUCUGGGGUCCUCACAAAGUCAACUUUGCACUGAGGCUAUUCAGUGUAUCUACUCGCAUCGAAACACACCAAGAUGGCCACUGUAUUUUAUUCCAUCAUUCUUGUGGUCCUGGGUAUGGAACCCAGGGCCUCACACAUGCUAGGCAAAUCCUCUACACCCCAGCUUAUGACUGCUGUGGUUUUGUUUUGUGCUGUUUUUGAGACAGGGUCUCGCUAUGUAUUGCAAGCCGGUUUUGAACUCAAGAGAUCCUCCUGCCUCAGCUUCCUGAGAGCCGGGGUGACAGGUGUGUUCCACCACAGCCAGAUCAACUGCUGUUUUAGAUUUAGGUUGAGACUACAAACUUUAAGUGGUUAGCCUGGCACGGUGGUACACACCUGUCAUCCCAGCACUCUGCAGGCUGAAACAGAAGGAUCACCACACAUUUGAAGCCAACCUGGAAUACAUAGCAAGACCCUGUCAAAAAAAAACCAGAUCCAAGGACAUCUAACCACAACACUCAUCCUCUCCUGAACCCCACUGCAAGCCAACAUUGCACCAGCCCCACGGCACAGGGGGACUGCGACUGGCCCAGACGCCAGGACAAGCCAGUCUGACUUGGCAGAGGGACCCCGCUGUCAACAAUCAGAGGAGCCUGCCUCGCAAGGCCUGGACCCAGUGGGGACUGGCCGUGCACACAGGGCGCCCUCUCCCUCACCUGCUGCUCACAGCUUUGAGCCGGCACCCCGGACUGCUCCAGGCGCACUGAGCACUUGUGCCGAUGAGAGGCCCACUCCCGCCACAGGGCCUGGAUGUCUGUAGCUCUGGCACUGCCCAGCACCCACAGGAAGCUUCCUGCCACCCCACUGUGACAGCCCUUCCACCACUGUGGCCUGUGUCAGAGGACAAAACCAAAUAAGGGACUUGUGUGAUUCUAGGGUGAGAUGGUCUCUCAGUCUAACGCCAGAUAUGGAAUGGAGAGGACGGGGCUGCGCUGGCCAAAGGGAGCCCCCCGCAGGCUUGGCCCAGACCCAAACCCUGUAACAAAGCAGCCAAAGAUGCCCGGGCCUGGCUUUGCAGCCGCACACAUGUGUGCACGGAGGGAAGAGGAGAUGGGCCUGUGGAACCCAUGCGGGACAGCGCCCUCUGCUCCAGGCUUGCUUUCCUCUCAGCCCUCGGGGGCUACACCUUACCCCUCCCGGCCCUACCAGAAACUCUGGUCUCCCCAUCAGCCAACCCUUCACAGCCUGUUGGGCUGGUCCUCUGCUGUCCCACGCAGUGGCCACCAGCCCGUGACACAGAGCGAGACUUGAGCGCCCUGUCGCCAUGCAGAGGAGCAGCCACUGUGCAGGCAGCAAGGUUGGGAUGUGCUCUCAACAGCCGGCCAUGCUGGGUGGCCUUGUCUACACUAGCGUGGCCUGGCCUCGAGUCUACACAGCAAGCAUGGGGGGAAGCAGACCCAGAGUCUAAUCCUAGCUCCCAUUGGAGCCACCAUGUGACCAGGGACAGCCACACAGGUCUUGUCCUUGGAGUCAUGCGUUGUUUCUGCCUCCCAUUGAGUUGAGGGACAGCUCCCCUCCUCCUCUUCCUCCUCCUCGUCUUCCUCCUCCUCCUCCUUGUCUUCCUCCUCCUCCUCCUCCUCCUUGUCUUCCUCCUCCUUCUCCUCCUCGUCUUCCUCCUCCUCCUCCUUGUCUUCCUCCUCCUUCUCCACCUUGUCUUCCUCCUCCAUCUCCUCCUCCUUGUCUUCCUCCUCCUUCUCCACCUUGUCUUCCUCCUCCUUCUCCUUGUCUUCCUCCUCCUCCUCCUCCUGCAUGGUGCCUGGUGGGCUGGGUCAGGUCCUCCACUAUAUGGACACAGCCCUCUUGGGAUGUGGGAGCAUCGGCCCAGUGUCUUCAGCCUCCCGCAGGAUCACUCCAGGUUUACAGGUGCAGAGGGCAGGCAGCAGGCAGGCUGUAGCGUGUCUGCAGGGUGGCGAGUGCGGCGAGCGCUCACCAUGGCUCAGACCUGUGUGUAGUGCGGCCUGUGACUUCCCUGCAGCACCACGCACAUUAAGACAAACCACCACCAUGCAGAGGAGGCCGCGAUUCCGAGGAUGGAGGACCUCUUGCAGCCUCACGGCCCAUCCUCGGUGGCUGCUGCUGUAUCUCGGCUGCCUCUAGCUCAAGGCUGGGCCCUGCACAGUGGCACCCAGGGUCACUAACAGGCCAGCUCUGCUGUGUGACAGGUGCGGCCUCUGCUGUCAGCCAGCAGCCUCGGUGCCAGGCCUGGGUGGUGGAGGAGAGGGUGUUUGUAUCAGGUGGGAUGGGGGCUGGGCACGCUUUCCGCAGCAUCUGGGUGGAAGGAGCUGAGACAUGGUCUCAGGAUGUAACCCAGGCUGGGCUUGAACUCAUGGCAGCCCCUUCGCCUCAGCCUCAGGAGCGCUGGGGUUAGAGACAUGUUAUAGCCUGCAUCUAGAUGCCCUCCAAAGCUGCACAGGUGGCUGGACCAAGGGUGUGUGAAUGUACACAAGAGUGUGUGAUGGCUGGAUUGGUGCACUGACCGACCGGCUUAGCUCUGUUGUGGAUGGAGGUAACGGAAUCCCCACCUGAGACAUGGGUGGCACUAGCAGGACUGUCUACAGGCAGAGGGAGAGAGGGAAGGUAGGGUCACUGCUGGUCACUGCUGGCCGCUUCCUGCUGGCCCUGCUGGGGACUGUUCCUCCCCUGCGAUGCCCCUCUGCCAUACCACCCUGCCUUGGAGCCAGCUGAGUACGGACUGAAACCCCUACAAACUGUAAGCAAAUAAAUCUUUCCUGUUUUAA